CGGGAAACCGGAGCUAAUACUGAUAAUAUUUCGAACCGCAUGGUUCGAUAGUGAAAGAUGGUUUUGCUAUCACUUAUAGAUGGACCUGCGCCGUAUUAGCUAGUUGGUAAGGUAACGGCUUACCAAGGCGACGAUACGUAGCCGACCUGAGAGGGUGAUCGGCCACACUGGAACUGAGACACGGUCCAGGACUCCUACGGGAGGCAGCAGCA
This 212-nucleotide ribosomal RNA is filed under the name uncultured Staphylococcus sp. RNAcentral describes it as "partial 16S ribosomal RNA". It matches the Rfam family "Bacterial small subunit ribosomal RNA", at positions 150 to 355 of the family's 1533-position model. Lineage: Bacteria; Bacillati; Bacillota; Bacilli; Caryophanales; Staphylococcaceae. The record is from RNAcentral.